GACGAGCCUCACGAACGUUAUUCGGAAUUACUGGGCUUAAAGGGCGCGUAGGCGGCUUGAUGUGUCAAAGGUGAAAUCCCUCGGCUCAACUGAGGAACUGCCUUUGAAACUGUCUGGCUUGAGGCCGGGAGAGGGUAGCGGAAUUCCCAGUGUAGCGGUGAAAUGCGUAGAUACUGGGAGGAACACCGGUGGCGAAGGCGGCUACCUGGACCGGUUCUGACACUGAGGCGCGACAGCGUGGGGAGCAAACAGG
RNAcentral lists this ribosomal RNA (253 nucleotides) under uncultured bacterium. RNAcentral's name for it is "partial 16S ribosomal RNA". It matches the Rfam family "Bacterial small subunit ribosomal RNA", at positions 524 to 776 of the family's 1533-position model. The record is from RNAcentral.